This 337-nucleotide ribosomal RNA is filed under the name Diaeretiella rapae. RNAcentral's name for it is "partial large subunit ribosomal RNA". The record is from RNAcentral. Lineage: Eukaryota; Metazoa; Arthropoda; Insecta; Hymenoptera; Braconidae.
GUCUUAUUGAUAAUAAUUUUAAGUCUAAUCUGCCCAAUGAAAAAUUUUGAAUGGCUGCAGUAUCAAUAACUGUACAAAGGUAGCAUAAUAAUUAGUUUUUUAAUUGAAAACUAGAAUGAAAGAUUAAAUGAAAUAUAAACUUUAUAAAUAAAAUAAAAAUUUAAAUUAAAUUUUAAGUUAAAAUUCUUAGAUAUUAUUAAAAGACGAGAAGACCCUUUAGAAUUUUAUAUUAAUUGUAAUUAAAUUUAUAAUAAUUUUAAUAUAAAUUAUUAAUUAAUAUUUAAUUGGGGUAAUUUUAUAAUUAAAUAAACUUUUAAAUAAUUAUUACAUAAAUUAA